AUGGAGAUUUCAGAUAUAUUAGGGAUAUAUCGGGGAAACCCGGGAAAAAAAUAUCGCAAUAUAGAUAUCUCCUACAAUAACUUCUCUCAGAGCUCUGUCCCAACUGUUUGUCGAGGAACUUUGUAUUCAUUGCAUAUAAAUUGUGGUGGGAAACAAACCACCAUUGGAGGCAUCAAGUAUGAAGAAGAUGAAGCCUCAGGAGGUGCAGCAACGUUUGUUCAAGCCACACCCCAAAAUUGGGGGUUCAGUAGCACCGGUGAAUUCGUAGAUCCUGAGGGUUCUGACAACGUCUAUAUUGCAAAUAAUGUUUCCAUACUCAAAUGGAAAUUACACAACCGCACGACUUUCUCCUCUGUCGCUCACCUACUAUGCCCAUUGCUUAGCAAAUGGAAAUUACACUGUGAAACUACACUUCGCAGAAAUAGUUCUCAGAGACAACAGGUCUUAUUAUGGUGUUGGAAGACGAAUGUUUGAUGUUUAUAUCCAGGACAAAUUGGUAUUGAAGGAUUUUGAUAUUAGAAAGGAAGCAAUGGGGGUUAACAAGGAAGUGAUCAAGGUAUUUAAUGCUGUUGUUAAUGUUAAGACUCUGCUGAUCCGCUUUCAGUGGGCUGGGAGAGGAACAACUAAUGUUCCGCGAAGAGGAAUAUAUGGUUCUCUUAUAUCAGCCAUUUCAGUGCAGUCUGCUUGUUAACCUGUUAAGUAAUUCCUACCUUGUUACAUCACAGAACUGAGAGGAUUGGAUCUGCAAACUGGUUAUUUUAAAUUCAAACAAAUUAAAGCUGCCACUAAUAACUUUGAUCCUGCAAACAAGCUUGGGGAAGGUGGCUUCGGAGCUGUUUACAAGGGAGAAUUAUUGGAUGGUAGUUUUAUUGCCGUUAAGCAACUUUCUUCAAAAUCGAAGCAGGGAAAUCAUGAAUUCAUAAAUGAAAUAGGCAUGAUGUCUGCAUUACAACACCCAAAUCUUGUUAAACUGUAUGGAUGUUGCACGGAAGGAAAUCAAUUAUUGUUGGUAUACGAAUACAUGGAGAACAAUAGCCUUUCACGUACUUUAUUUGGUUCAGAGGAAGGGCUAAGGAAAUUGAACUGGCCAACAAGGCAGAAAAUAUGUGUUGGUAUUGCAAGGGGUCUUGCUUUCCUGCACGAUGGAACCUUGAAAAUUGUUCAUAGAGAUAUCAAAACAACCAACAUAUUGCUGGAUAGGGACCUUAAUGCUAAGAUAGCUGACUUUGGUUUGGCUAAGCUGGACGAAGAGCAUACUCAUAUCAGCACCAGAGUUGCUGGAACUAUAGGAUACAUGGCGUCUGAGUAUGCAUUAUGGGGAUAUUUAACCGAUAAGGCAGAUGUCUACAGUUUUGGGGUUGUAGCAUUGGAACUGGUAUCAGGGAAAAACAACAUCAAAUAUCGGCCGAACGAAAAUUUUGUAUGCCUUCUAGAUUGGGCCCUUGUUUUACAACAGAAAGGCAAUCUAAUGGAGCUGGUGGAUCCAAAGUUAGGUUCUGGGUUCAACAAGGAAGAGGCACUUAGAAUGAUAAAGGUGGCUCUACUAUGCGCCAAUUCAUCACCGGCACUAAGACCAACAAUGUCUCAAGUGGUGAGCAUGCUUGAAGGCCGAACUGAUGUUCAUGAAGUGACCAUAAAUCCAAGUAUUUAUGGUGAUGAAAUGAGGUUUAAGGCCUUCACAGAGGACUCUGAUCCGGAUAUGCAAGAGAGCUUUGAGGAGACUCGAAGCUUCAUUCGCUCGGAUUCAAAAUGGACAGCCUCUUCCUCAUUGAAUAUUGAUAACAGUGAGACUCGAUAA
RNA transcript from Fragaria vesca subsp. vesca, 1798 nucleotides. It is a transcript of the gene named probable LRR receptor-like serine/threonine-protein kinase At1g07650-like, with no coding region annotated. The transcript has 9 exons. The record is from RefSeq and is a predicted model, not a curated record. Lineage: Eukaryota; Viridiplantae; Streptophyta; Magnoliopsida; Rosales; Rosaceae.